GACGAACGCUGGCGGCGUGCCUAAUACAUGCAAGUCGAACGAAGCUGUUUUAAUUGGUGCUUGCACCGACUUAAACAACUGAGUGGCGAACGGGUGAGUAACACGUGGGUAACCUGCCCCAAAGCGGGGAAAACAUUUGGAAACAGAUGCUAAUACCGCAUAACCACAGAAACCACAUGGUUCAUGUGUCAAAGAUGGUUUAGGAUAUCACUUUGGGAAGGACCCGUGGCGUAUUAGCUAGUUGGUAAGGUAAUGGCUUACCAAGGCAAUGAUACGUAGACGAACUGAGAGGUUGAUCGGCCACAUUGGGACUGAGACACGGCCCAAACUCCUACGGGAGGCAGCAGUAGGGAAUCUUCCACAAUGGACGAAAGUCUGAUGGAGCAACGCCGCGUGAGUGAAGAAGGUUUUCGGAUCGUAAAACUCUGUUGUCAGAGAAGAACGUGUGCGAGAGUAACUGUUCGUGCAGUGACGGUAUCUGGCCAGAAAGCCACGGCUAACUACGUGCCAGCCGCCGCGGUAA
This 523-nucleotide ribosomal RNA is filed under the name uncultured bacterium. Its description in RNAcentral is "partial 16S ribosomal RNA". It matches the Rfam family "Bacterial small subunit ribosomal RNA", at positions 28 to 523 of the family's 1533-position model. The record is from RNAcentral.